Molecule: long non-coding RNA, 3113 nt
Organism: Fukomys damarensis (Damara mole-rat)
Lineage: Eukaryota; Metazoa; Chordata; Mammalia; Rodentia; Bathyergidae
Source: Ensembl
GUUGAGUGCUGUCACCGAGUUUCAGCCAUGGAUUCUGGCUCAAGUGUGAAUGCUAGUUCAUUUGCUGAUAAUUUGGGGCAUGAAACCUCACAAAGGCCUUUCUUCUUUUUAAAGGAGGAAAGAGGGGUCCUGCUCUAUUGCUUCUACCCCUUCCGGCCUCCCCUUUCUCCAUAAUGUCUGUCCUGUGGUGGAGAGAACUUGCAGCAAAUGGAGUAGCGGGACCUGUCUUCUCUACCGCUGCUCCUCUGAGGUGGGGAGUCACUCUAGAGCUGAGCUCACGGGACAGAACCAAUGCCAGAUGUCUGCUCCCCUUUGAGCUACUGAGGCAAAGUAGGCCUUCUUUCUUUGGUUUAGAAAAUGUAGCCAAGUGUGGUGGUAGGUAGACUCUUGGAAUCUCAAAACUGCUGGAGGCCAAGGCAGGAAGAUCACAAGUUCCAGCCUAGGGCAGGACCUUAUCUCAAAAUGAAUAUGAAAUAAAAAAAAAAAAAAAAAAAAAAAAAAAAAAAAAAAAAAGACUGGGGAUAUAGCUCAUUGCAGAGUUCCUGGGUUCAAUCCCAAGAAGAGAAGAGAAAGGAAAAUAUUAUCAUAGAAUCAGUUUCUCUGACUUCUGCCAUCCCACAAGAAAUUUUCACACCCUUGUUUUCUUUUUUGCAGUACUGAGCUUUGAAUCCAGGAAACAACACCAGGACUCCUCAGGUCAGCACUCUGAGAGAACACUUGAGCCUGGCCGUUCACCUGGAGCUGUGUGUCCAGCGAUUAGCUCUGUACAUAGGUAAGCUUUUCUGUCAAGUGGCUUUAUUUAAAGAGCAUGAGUGCCUUUUUUUCACACCCCAUUUAAUUUCCACUGGUCUUCCCAGCCUGCACAGAUGGCCUGCUUUUCCUCUUCCUGUGCUUAAUUCUCACUGAAGCCAGAGUGGUAAAUGCCCAUGAGGAUUCCAUGGAGGUCUGUUCAGAGCCAGCAGUGCAGCAGAGACCAGGCACCCAGGUUUUCACCUUCUCCUCAUUGUUCAGCAACAGCAAGCGGACUUGCUCGUCUGAGUAGAAGAGGAAAGUCUGCCGAGAGGGACAGAAAGCGGGUGACGGUGGAGAAGAAACCCUUGGAAGAGGUUUCCCCGUCUGUACUUUUCAGCAAUGAUUAUUCAGGGACACAGCCAGCUGCAGCCCGCAGCUGCGCUCCCAGCUGUGCCGAGCAUAGUGGGCGGAUGCGAUGCGUUUGUCAAGUGCUGCGGCAGCGUCCUGCGCCCGCAAACACAGCGAGGAGGGCAUGUUUGCUAUUGCUGCUGGUACACUGGGCCUUUAAGGAACUGGCUUUCUGGGCAAGUUUCAGAAAGUCUAAUACUUUUCCAGCAUUAGGAAGAUCAAGUCAACUGAGGUACACAAAACGGAGACUGCCACCACACGGUUCAGAUGAGUUUUGUGAGACUGUUAUUAUUAUUUCUUUUCUUAAGCCCCACAACUUUAAAGCUCAAUCGCUCUUACUUUCAUAAAUGUCGUAGGCGAUAUUUUUUAUUGUUUACUAUAUUCUAAAAUCGAGACAGUAGCUGAGUGUGGUGGCACAUGCCUAUAAUCUCAGCACUUGGGAGGCUGAGGCAGAAGGAUCACUGUGAGGCACAUAGCUCAAGACCAGCCUGAACCACAUAGCAAGACCCUGUCUCAAAAAAACAAAAAUACAUAAAUAAAUAAAAUUAAGACAAUAACAUUACAAUACCCAUACAGAAUGUUUAAAGUAAGAAACAUUGAGAACCCCAAUUAUUUUCACAUUAAGGACUUAAAGUAUUUAAGUUUAUACUAAAAGAAUAAUUAAGGAGCCAGGGAUUUAGCUCAGUGGCACAGUACCUGCCUGGCAAGUGUGUGGUCCUGCAUUCGAUCCCCAUNNNNNNNNNNNNNNNNNNNAAAAAAAAAAAAAAAAAAAAAAAAAGAAUAAACACUAUUACAAAAAUCUGAGGGAAGAAUCAUCUAACAAUCCACGGUCCUAACACAAUUGUCAGCAAUUUUGUAUAUUCCUUCCAAGGUUUUUCUUUCCUAGAAGAAACCUCUUUAAAGUUUAAAUUGUAGUGGAUAUGAUUUUGUAAUUAUACCCUUUUCAAUUUUCUAUUUAACUUCAUAUUAACUAGAAGACAGUUAAGGGUGAUUGUUAACAACCCGGGAUCUGGGGUCAACUAGGAGCUUCCUCAAGGACUUCUGAGGAAGUGGCCAUGGGAAGUCCAGCCUGCAGAGAUCGACACAGGGCAGUGAGCACCGCUGGGGCUUGGACCCUCCUUUGUCCCCCAAAGGCCGAAGGCUGCGCUGCACAGCUGUGGAGCCUCGGGGAGGCGGGGCUUGGUAGAAGGAGCUAGGUCAUUUCCGUGUUUCCUUGAGGGAGCAUGGAACAACUGCCCCUCCCUCUCUCUGUGCUUCCUGGCAGUUCUGCCCCUCUGCGCCCUCCCUCAAGUGACCUCCUGCUCACCACAGGCCCAGAGAAAGGAGGGUGAACAACCCUCUGAAAGUGUGAUCCAAAAUAAAAAAGGAAUCUUUCCUCCUUGUGAAUUGUUUUAUCUUAGAUAUUUUGUCCCAGUGACAGACUAACACAGGCAUGAAGAAAGAAUCUUUUAAAAGAGCUUUAACAUCGCUGUUUCAUGGAGUUAUUGUGAGGCAGAGAUGAAGUAAUAUGUGUAACAGAUGUAAUGUCUGGCCUGUGGCACAAUAAACACUCAAUAUGUGGUAGCUAUCCUGCCCUUCACACAUUAUUACAUAGACUUUAAAGUGGCAUUUUAAUGUCAAUAUAGAACACAUCACAGAAAUGGUCUAUACUAUUAACUCGAGCCUUUUAAAGAUAAUUUUCAACACUGUAAGCAAUGAAAGAUGAUUUUUCUCAUAUUUUAGAUUGCCUCUAAAGACAAGAGAUGACUUAUUAGAAUUAUUAUGUGGGUGAACAAUUUUAUGGCUCCUGGUACAUUUUUGCCAAUUGUUUUUUUGGUACUGGGGAUUGAACUCAGGUCCAUGUGCUUGUGGGGCAGGCGGAGGAACCACGGAGCUAAAUCCCUGGCCCCUGCCAUAUUGCUUUCCUAAUAUGCUUCAAAUUACAACAUAAUAAUUAAUAUUUGAAAACAGUAGUUAUACUGCGUCACUGCCAC